This 375-nucleotide transfer-messenger RNA is filed under the name Ottowia sp. It matches the Rfam family "transfer-messenger RNA". From Rfam's summary of the family: Bacterial tmRNA, also known as 10Sa RNA or SsrA, is named for its dual tRNA and mRNA-like properties. Its role is to liberate the mRNA from a stalled ribosome. Lineage: Bacteria; Pseudomonadati; Pseudomonadota; Betaproteobacteria; Burkholderiales; Comamonadaceae. The record is from RNAcentral.
GGGGCUGCACCUGGUUUCGACGCGGGUUGGAAUCGCCUCAGGGCAUGUCGAGGUUCAGUCACCUCGUAAAACCGCUGAACCAAAGUAACUGCAAACGACGAACGUUUCGCACUCGCCGCCUAAACCGGCGAGCCUCGCAACAGCCUGCCGAUGGGCUGGGCAAGGGCGGUGCAAACCGUCCCGGCUGCGGGGGAAUCUCACACCGGCUGGCUCGCUGCCGUGCGCCUUGGCAGCGGGUGAGACGUAAGGGCGCUGGCUGCCUGGAUAGCGUGCGGCUGCGCGAUUCAGGUGGCGAGAUGAAAACAGACCGCUAAACAUGUAGAACUGGACGAGGAAGGUUUGCGGACGGGGGUUCAACUCCCCCCAGCUCCACCA